This 484-nucleotide long non-coding RNA is filed under the name Nicotiana benthamiana. RNAcentral's name for it is "long non-coding RNA (NBEN_LNC009530)". The record is from RNAcentral. Lineage: Eukaryota; Viridiplantae; Streptophyta; Magnoliopsida; Solanales; Solanaceae.
GUACAUUUCAAUGCUCAUUAAUGUAUGAAGCUCGAGUGAAAUAUGUUCCUUAGUAUGAAGAUCUUCAGCUAUUAUUUUUCCCUUUUGAAUCCCCACCUUGUCUUCCCUUCCUUUAGCUCUAAUGAACCUGCAGAUAAGAUGCUGGCCUCGUAGUAAUUAGGUGUUUGGAUUGUUUCAAUUUUGUAAUAACUGGACAUUGGGACUAACUUAUUUUUGUAAUAUCUGGACAUUUGGACUGCUGUUUUAGAUAUUUACAAUUAGUAGUAAUAUUAGCUAGUGGUAAAGUUAUUUCGAAUGUUGUUUUUCCGUUUUUUUUUCUUAGAAACGUUGAAUUUAGGAAAUGUUAGCUUGGUAAUCGUUCAAAGAUCAGAACACCUAGUAGAAUUUUAAUUCGUUUAAGUUUCAACAUAUUAGCAAUGCUUUGUUUCAGAUUUAUAAGUUGUAAUCAGAAUUAUAAUUGAAACUUGGAAGCUAAAUUCGUAUA